Non-coding RNA from Castor canadensis (American beaver), 1444 nucleotides. NCBI's taxonomy places the organism in Eukaryota, Metazoa, Chordata, Mammalia, Rodentia, Castoridae. The record is from RefSeq and is a predicted model, not a curated record.
GGCGCGAACUUCCGCCGUUCCGAAGUUGCAAGGCGAAUUGGCGCGAUGUCUGGGGACAGCAGCGGCCGCCGGCCCGAGGGCCGGGGCCGGGGCCGUGACCCGCACCGGGAUCGCACCCGUUCUCGUUCCCGCUCGCGGUCCCCGCUGUGCCGCCGCGGCGCCGCGCCGGAGCGCAGGGAGGCCCCGGAGCGCCCGAGCUUGGAGGACACAGAGCCGUCAGAUUCCGGGGACGAGAUGUUGGACCCGGCCACCUUGGAGGCGGAGACCGACCAUGGCCUGUGUCGCCAGAUCCGCCAUCAGUACCGGGCGCUUAUCAACUCCGUCCAACAAAACCGGGAGGAUAUAUUGAAUGCCAGCGACAAAUUAACAGAGGUCCUUGAAGAGGCUAACACUCUGUUUAAUGGAGUGUCCCGGGCACGAGAAGCAGUCCUGGACGCCCACUUUCUCGUUCUAGCUUCAGAUUUGGGCAAAGAGAAAGCAAAGCAGCUGCGCUCUGAUCUGAGCUCGUUUGAUAUGUUAAGAUAUGUUGAAGCUCUACUGACACAUAUGGGUGUAAAUCCGCUAGAAGCUGAAGAACUCAUCCGUGAUGAAGAUAGCUCUGAUUUUGAAUUCAUAGUCUAUGACUCCUGGAAAAUAUCAGGCAAAACAGCAGAAAACACCUUUAAUAAAACCCAUACAUUCCACUUUCUAUUGGGUUCAAUAGAAGGAGAGUUCCCUGUGCCAAAGCCACGAAUCGAUCGUCCAAGAAAAGAGCGUACGAUAGAAGAGCAGCGGGCAAUGCCUGCUCAGUUGAAAAGCAUGGAAGAAUCUCAUCAAGAAGCAACAGAAAAAGAAGUUGAAAGAAUCUUGGGAUUACUGCAAACGUAUUUUCGAGAAGAUCCUGAUACUCCAAUGUCCUUUUUUGACUUUGUGAUUGACCCACAUUCUUUCCCCCGUACAGUGGAAAACAUCUUUCAUGUUUCCUUCAUCAUACGGGAUGGUUUUGCAAGGAUACGACUUGACCAAGACCGACUGCCAAUAAUAGAGCCUGUUAAUAUUAAUGAAGACAGUGAAGGAAUUGACCAAAGCACCCAAAUUAGGAAUCAAGGAAUUAUAGCUCUGAGUUACCGUGACUGGGAGGUGAGCGCUGCAUGUUUCCUGUGUGGUUCUGAUGCUGACUUCCUUGACUGCAGGCCUCUGCCCAAAUAUUCUUUGCUCCCUCCCAGGAGAUUGUGAAGACCUUUGAGAUUUCCGAGCCUGUGAUUUCAUUGGGUCAGAGCCAGCAGAGGCUAAGUGCUUGAUACUAGAUGAAGGACUCAAGUGGAUAGUGAAAUCCAAAAAGAAAAGCAGCAUGUAUUGUAUAUAUUGUAUGAUUAAACAUUUUUAAGGACAGGUUGUUUUUAGUAAAAUGUAGCUUUUGAUAGUUAAUGAAUUUGUCAUGGUUGUCUUUAAUUAAAGGAAUUCC